GUCAGGAUGGCCGAGCGGUCUAAGGCGCCACACUCAAGGUACAAUUCCUUUUCAUGAUACAUGGGAGAGUGUUCUGGUCUCCUAAUGGAGGCGUGGGGUUCGAAUCCCACUUCUGACA
Molecule: non-coding RNA, 118 nt
Organism: Nematostella vectensis (starlet sea anemone)
Lineage: Eukaryota; Metazoa; Cnidaria; Anthozoa; Actiniaria; Edwardsiidae
Source: Rfam